ACUCAAAUGAAUUGACGGGGGCUCACACAAGCGGUGGAGCAUGUGGCUCAAUUCGAAGCAACGCGAAGAACCUUAUCCUGGGCUUGACAUGUAUGGAUUAGUUGGAUGAAAGUUCAAUGACGCUCGCAAGAGUGGAACAUACACAGGUGCUGCAUGGCUGUCGUCAGCUCGUGCUGUGAAGUGUCGGGUUAAGUCCCAUAACGAGCGAAACCCUUAUCGUUAGUUGCUAACAGGUAAUGCUGAGCACUCUAACGAGACUGCCGGUGUUAAACCGGAGGAAGGCGGGGAUGACGUCAAGUCCUCAUGGCCUUUAUGCCCAGGGCUGCACACGUGCUACAAUGCCGAUGACAAACCGAAGCAAGACCGCAAGGUGGAGCAAAUCGGAGAAAAAUCGGCCCAGUUCAGAUUGAGGGCUGCAACUCGCCCUCAUGAAGUUGGAAUCGCUAGUAAUCGCGGAUCAGCUAUGCCGCGGUGAAUGUGUUCCUGAGCCUUGUACACACCGCCCGU
This 507-nucleotide ribosomal RNA is filed under the name uncultured bacterium. RNAcentral describes it as "partial 16S ribosomal RNA". It matches the Rfam family "Bacterial small subunit ribosomal RNA", at positions 899 to 1397 of the family's 1533-position model. The record is from RNAcentral.